This 253-nucleotide ribosomal RNA is filed under the name uncultured bacterium. Its description in RNAcentral is "partial 16S ribosomal RNA". It matches the Rfam family "Bacterial small subunit ribosomal RNA", at positions 524 to 776 of the family's 1533-position model. The record is from RNAcentral.
UACGAAGGGGGCUAGCGUUGCUCGGAAUCACUGGGCGUAAAGCGCACGUAGGCGGAUUGUUAAGUCAGGGGUGAAAUCCUGGAGCUCAACUCCAGAACUGCCUUUGAUACUGGCGAUCUCGAGUCCGGGAGAGGUGAGUGGAACUGCGAGUGUAGAGGUGAAAUUCGUAGAUAUUCGCAAGAACACCAGUGGCGAAGGCGGCGCUCUGGACCGAGACUGACGCUGAGGCGCGAAAGCGUGGGGAGCAAACAGG